GCUCCCUGGACACCGGAGGGGCUAAGGGCGGCCAGGAGCGACCGUGGGGGCGCGGACUCACAGCGGAUGGUGUGGAAAGAGGUCCGCGGCCGCUUCUCGAAGCUCUCCCCGAGCCGCAGGCAGUGCUCCUCGCGGUCCAGCAGCGGGUUGGCCGUCCCGUUCAUGGCCCCCCCGGACCUCGCGCCCGCACCGGUGCCCUCCUGGCGCGCCCGCGGCCCGAGCUGCCGGUACCGGUGUCCGGGGCAGCCGCGCUCCCGGGACAGCGCUCCGGGUCGCGCGGGGAACAGAGCCGGAACCCACCCGUGGCCGGAAGCAAAUCCUGGCCUCCGCGUCCGGAAGAACCCCCCAACCGGAGCCUCAUUCUUUUUCCUGCGAAACACCCGAUGCUGCCUGAGGCUUGGACCCAACCUGAGGGACCACAUCUGAGAAAACCCUGCCUGUGUCUGCAGUAUCCGCUUGAAUUCCUCAGGUUGUUCAGGAAUGGAGAAUCUCCAGCAGUGUUAAAUAUAUUACCAUCAACUUAGGAGAUGUCUGCUUUGCAAAGGAAAGGGCUUCAGGCAAGGAUUCUCAGCUCUGAAGAAGAGGAGAAACUGACAAGAGACCAAGCUUUAGUGUCUGAUUAUAAACAGCAAAAACUGGAAAAAGAGGCUCAGAAGAACUGGGACCUUUUUUACAAAAGAAAUAGCACUAAUUUCUUCAAAGAUAGACACUGGACCACCAGAGAGUUUGAGGAGCUCAGAUCAUGUAGAGAGUUUGAAGAUCAAAAAUUGACUAUGCUUGAAGCUGGUUGUGGGGUUGGGAACUGUUUAUUCCCGCUUUUAGAAGAUCCGAAUAUCUUUGCCUAUGCCUGUGAUUUUUCUCCAAGAGCAGUUGAAUAUGUCAAGCAAAAUCCUUUAUAUGACACAGAACGAUGCAAGGUAUUCCAGUGUGAUCUGACUAAAGAUGACCUUCUGGAACACGUGCCCCCGGAGUCUGUGGAUGUUGUCAUGUUGAUAUUUGUGCUCUCUACGGUUCACCCUGAUAAAAUGCACCUUGUCUUACAAAACAUUUACAAGGUAUUAAAACCAGGCAAAAGUGUCUUGUUUCGCGACUAUGGGCUGUAUGAUCAUGCCAUGCUUAGGUUUAAAGCCGGCAGCAAACUUGCAGAAAACUUUUAUGUUAGACAAGAUGGAACCAGAUCAUAUUUUUUCACUGAUGGUAAGAUUGCUGGAAUCUGUCUUGACUGCUGUUUCCUUGAUUGCAUUGUCACUAUGGUACCAGUUGGAGUGGGGGUGACUGUACCCCCCUUAUAAGCACAAGGUCCCAGAACAAGCCCGCUCACGUGCACCACUUACCAGCCCUGGCUGUGAGCUCACGGGCCGCCUCUGGUGACCGUGUCCAGUUAGAGAGCCGGAUCAGUGGACAGGCUCUGAUGCGCCGCCAUGUGGAUGACGCCAGGAGCUGCGCUGGAAAGAGGGGAGAGCAAACCAGAAUCUUCACUUCGUUCACUCAGGCAUAAAGCAAAUAGGACAGGGUAGUGCCUUGAGAUUACUUGAGUCUCACAAAGAAUUCCUGGCACGGCUCUUUAUGGACACAGGUUACGAAGAAGAGGUGAACGAGUAUGUGUUUCGUGAGACGGUGAAUAAAAAAGAAGGCCUGUGUGUACCGAGGGUUUUCCUUCAGAGCAAGUUCCGAAAGUCUCUGAAGAACCCAACUCCUGUGACCCCGCGCCUGGGCCACGAGUCCUGACCUUUCAUGAAGUUGAUGUCUGUGCCUCCCCUUGAAGAGGAAAGUUUAAAGUCACUAUUUUGUGUACUUUUAUAUUUUAACUUUUUAAAAUGAAUAUAUAUACUUUUUAUAUUAAAAGGUAGCAAGUGUGUGUGUGUUACAGAAUUGUAAAUAAAAUUGCAAGACCUG
RNA transcript from Lagenorhynchus albirostris (white-beaked dolphin), 1896 nucleotides. It is a transcript of the gene named methyltransferase 6, tRNA N3-cytidine, with no coding region annotated. NCBI's taxonomy places the organism in Eukaryota, Metazoa, Chordata, Mammalia, Artiodactyla, Delphinidae. The record is from RefSeq and is a predicted model, not a curated record. The transcript is spliced from 6 exons.